GCCUGUGUGAUGAAAUCGGUAGACAUGUUAGACUCAAAAUCUAAUGGGAAACCAUGUGGGUUCGAGUCCCACCACAGGUA
RNAcentral lists this transfer RNA (80 nucleotides) under Mycoplasma sp. CAG:611. It matches the Rfam family "tRNA". From Rfam's summary of the family: Transfer RNA (tRNA) molecules are approximately 80 nucleotides in length. The record is from Rfam by way of RNAcentral. Lineage: Bacteria; Bacillati; Mycoplasmatota; Mollicutes; Mycoplasmatales; Mycoplasmataceae.